Molecule: ribosomal RNA, 509 nt
Filed under: Cenococcum geophilum
Lineage: Eukaryota; Fungi; Ascomycota; Dothideomycetes; Gloniales; Gloniaceae
Description: eukaryotic LSU rRNA
Rfam family: 5.8S ribosomal RNA (bases 158-311)
Source: RNAcentral
CUGCGGAAGGAUCAUUACAGAAAGUAAACGCGGAUCAAACCGCGAACUUCUAAACCUUUGACGAUUGACUCAUGUUGCCUCGGCGGGUUCUCCCGCCAGAGGAUACAUCAAAACUCCUGUUUUAACGGUGUUGUCUGAGCUACAAGCAACGAAUCAAAACUUUCAACAACGGAUCUCUUGGUUCUGGCAUCGAUGAAGAACGCAGCGAAAUGCGAUAAGUAGUGUGAAUUGCAGAAUUCAGUGAAUCAUCGAAUCUUUGAACGCACAUUGCGCCCCUUGGUAUCCCGAGGGGCAUGCCUGUUCGAGCGUCAUUUCACCACUCAAGCCUGGCUUGGUGUUGGGCGACGUCCCCUUUGGGGACGCGCCUCGAAACGCUCGGCGGCGUGGCACCGGCUUUAAGCGUAGCAGAAUCUUUCGCUUUNAAAGUCGGGGCCCCGUCUGCCGGAAGACCUACUCGCAAGGUUGACCUCGGAUCAGGCAGGGGAUACCCGCUGAACUUAAGCAUAUCA